CAUUUACUAUUUCAUAUCUCUUUGUGUACAGCGGUUCAUACAGCUUCUGGUAUUUAGUUUCAAGUGCAGCACUCUCCUCCAAAAACUUAGCUUGCAGUUCAUCAUGUUGACCCUGCAACUCUCUCAAAGCAUCAACGCGCUUCCUAACUUGUGGUGACAGUGUCGUAAGUAUGUCUGCGUCCUCCAUAGCCAAAUUCUGGAGCUUAUUCUUGAGUGCAUUUACCAAAAGAGCACGAUCUUCAGCGCUCAAAGCGGCGGCAGCGGCUGGGAGGAGAUCGGAAUCCGAGCGAUCUUUGAUCGAAAUGCUCAUGUUGAAUUCGUUACGAAAGAGUUGGAAGAAAA
Molecule: unclassified non-coding RNA, 342 nt
Filed under: Hevea brasiliensis (rubber tree)
Lineage: Eukaryota; Viridiplantae; Streptophyta; Magnoliopsida; Malpighiales; Euphorbiaceae
Source: RNAcentral